RNAcentral lists this ribosomal RNA (252 nucleotides) under uncultured bacterium. Its description in RNAcentral is "partial 16S ribosomal RNA". It matches the Rfam family "Bacterial small subunit ribosomal RNA", at positions 524 to 776 of the family's 1533-position model. The record is from RNAcentral.
UACGUAGGUGGCAAGCGUUGUCCGGAAUUAUUGGGCGUAAAGCGCGCGCAGGCGGUUAUGUAAGUCUGGUGUUAAAGCCCGGGGCUCAACCUCGGUUCGCAUUGGAAACUGCGUAACUUGAGUGCAGAAGAGGAAAGUGGUAUUCCACGUGUAGCGGUGAAAUGCGUAGAGAUGUGGAGGAACACCAGUGGCGAAGGCGACUUUCUGGUCUGUAAAUGACGCUGAGGCGCGAAAGCGUGGGGAGCAAACAGG